UGUGACAUACCACUUGUUGCCUCGGCGGAUCAGCCCGCUCCCGGNAAACGGGACGGCCCGCCAGAGGACCCCUAAACUCUGUUUCUAUAUGUAACUUCUGAGUAAAACCAUAAAUAAAUCAAAACUUUCAACAACGGAUCUCUUGGUUCUGGCAUCGAUGAAGAACGCAGCAAAAUGCGAUAAGUAAUGUGAAUUGCAGAAUUCAGUGAAUCAUCGAAUCUUUGAACGCACAUUGCGCCCGCCAGUAUUCUGGCGGGCAUGCCUGUUCGAGCGUCAUUUCAACCCUCAAGCACAGCUUGGUGUUGGGACUCGCGUUAAUUCGCGUUCCUCAAAUUGAUUGGCGGUCACGUCGAGCUUCCAUAGCGUAGUAGUAAAACCCUCGUUACUGGUAAUCGUCGCGGCCACGCCGUUAAACCCCAACUUCUGAAUGUUGACCUCGGAUCAGGUAGGAAUACCCGCUGAACUUAAGCAUAUCAAUA
This 479-nucleotide ribosomal RNA is filed under the name Fusarium oxysporum. RNAcentral describes it as "eukaryotic LSU rRNA". The stretch from base 123 to 276 matches the Rfam family "5.8S ribosomal RNA". The record is from RNAcentral. Lineage: Eukaryota; Fungi; Ascomycota; Sordariomycetes; Hypocreales; Nectriaceae.